This is a long non-coding RNA of Gossypium raimondii (Peruvian cotton), 902 nucleotides long. RefSeq lists it as uncharacterized. NCBI's taxonomy places the organism in Eukaryota, Viridiplantae, Streptophyta, Magnoliopsida, Malvales, Malvaceae. The record is from RefSeq and is a predicted model, not a curated record. The transcript has 2 exons.
UGGGAAUUUUCCUUUUUCCUCAAAACGAUAUCGUUCCAGAGUGGACCGAAUUGAAAUCGCAAUAAAAUAACUGGGUAAAAAUAAAAAAUAUAAAAGUACCUAACUAAAAAACAUUAAAAAAAGCGGAAGGGCUAAAGGUGCAAUUAGCCCUUCCAACGAAAACAGGGGGACCCUCCGGGUAAUGGGUCGGGUCAGGUACGGGUCAUGCAAUACGGCGCCGUUUUGGCGCUGAGACCCCUAGGUGAAACGGCGUCGUUUUUCAUUUGGUAUAAAUAUAAAAAAAAACCCCUAAAAAAACAGAUUCAACCCCCUUUCUUUAAAAAAAAAACAGAGUUUUGGAGCUCUCUCUCAAAUCCCCAAAUCCGGCCAUGGUCCGGCCGUCCCCGGUCAUCAGGCCGCCGUCCGUCGGCCACCGCACACGGUCGUCGGAGGCACAAAAUCGGACCUUUUUGGUCCCUUUUGGAGCCUGUCGCCUCUAGGACACGGAUUCGAGGCCGAAUCCCGCGAGAAAUGAGCCCGUACCCGAGAAAAGCAAAGAGAGACCGCCCGUCUCCCCUCCCUCCGGCACGGCGCAGGCAUUGACGGAGACGUGCGGCGCGGGUCAGAUGCAGGUGGGGGUGGCCGAUGGGACGUGCGGCAGAGGAGACCUGAAGGCCCUAGGUACGGCGCCUAGGGUUUUUUCUUUCUUUUUUUUGCUGAAAAUAGUUUAGGUUUGGGCCAUUUUGGGCUGUUAGGGUUUUUUUAUUAUUGGGUCAUUUUGGGUCUGUUGUUUUUGGGUUUAAUUUUAGCUUGUUAGGCUGGGGUAUUUUAGGUUAAUGGGCCCCGGGCAAAUUUGGACUUGUACAGCUGUCCCUCUUUGCUCGUUGUAUUAUAAAAAUAUAAAAAUCAGAUUAUAUUAAAAA